UUAAAUGGCCGCGGUACCCUAACCGUGCAAAGGUAGCGUAAUCACUUGUCUACUAAAUAUAGACCUGUAUGAACGGCAUCACGAGGGCCACACUGUCUCCCCCCUUUAAUCAGUAAAACUGAUCCCCCCGUGAAGAAGCGGGGAUUCAAAUACAAGACGAGAAGACCCCAUGGAGCUUUAAACCAAGAGUCAACUGCUAAAUUUUAUAUCAUUAAUACCGCAAUCAUGACUCAAAGUUUUCGAUUGGGGCGACCGCGGAGCAUAACAAAACCUCCACGAUGAAAGAACAUAAAAUUCUUACCCAAGAACCACACCACAAAGGACCACAAAUGUGACAUCCAUUGACCCAAAAGCUUGAUCAACGAACCUAGUUACCCUGGGGAUAACAGCGCAAUCCAUUUCAAGAGCCCAUAUCGACAAAUGGGUUUACGACCUCGA
This 438-nucleotide ribosomal RNA is filed under the name Breviceps adspersus (bushveld rain frog). Its description in RNAcentral is "partial 16S ribosomal RNA". It matches the Rfam family "Bacterial large subunit ribosomal RNA", at positions 1923 to 2529 of the family's 2925-position model. Lineage: Eukaryota; Metazoa; Chordata; Amphibia; Anura; Brevicipitidae. The record is from RNAcentral.